GAGUUUGAUCAUGGCUCAGAUUGAACGCUGGCGGCACGCCUAACACAUGCAAGUCGAGCGGCAGCGCGAUCAGUAGCAAUACUGAUUGGCGGCGAGCGGCGGACGGGUGAGGAACACGUAGGAACUUGCCUAUCAGAGGGGGAUAACCAGUGGAAACGCUGGCUAAUACCGCAUAAAGUCUUCGGACCAAAGCUGCCGCAAGGUGGCGCUGAUAGAGAGGCCUGCGUCCGAUUAGCUAGUUGGUAAGGUAAAGGCUUACCAAGGCGAGGAUCGGUAACUGGUCUGAGAGGACGGCCAGUCACACUGGGACUGAGACACGGCCCAGACUCCUACGGGAGGCAGCAGUGGGGAAUCUUGGACAAUGGGGGCAACCCUGAUCCAGCGAUG
This 387-nucleotide ribosomal RNA is filed under the name uncultured Gammaproteobacteria bacterium. Its description in RNAcentral is "bacterial SSU rRNA". It matches the Rfam family "Bacterial small subunit ribosomal RNA", at positions 9 to 396 of the family's 1533-position model. Lineage: Bacteria; Pseudomonadati; Pseudomonadota; Gammaproteobacteria. The record is from RNAcentral.